GAUGAAGAACGUAGCGAAAUGCGAUAAGUAAUGUGAAUUGCAGAAUUCAGUGAAUCAUCGAAUCUUUGAACGCACCUUGCGCCCUUUGGCCAUUCCGAAGGGCAUGCCUGUUUGAGUAUCAUGAACACCUCAACUCUUCAUGGUUUUCCAUGAUGAGCUUGGACUUUGGGGGUCUUGCUGGCCUGUGGGUCGGCUCCUCUCAAAUGAAUCAGCUUGCCGGUUUUUGGUGGGCAUCACAGGUGUGAUAACUAUCUACGCUUGUGGUUUUCCACCAGGGUAACCUUCAGCAGUGGAGGUUCACUGGAGCUUACAAAUGUCUCUCCUCUGUGAGGACAGCCCUUUGAAUGUUUGAUCUCAAAUCAGGUAGGACUACCCGCUGAACUUAAGCAUAUCAGUAAGCGGAGGA
RNAcentral lists this unclassified non-coding RNA (406 nucleotides) under soil metagenome. RNAcentral's name for it is "partial contains 5.8S ribosomal RNA, internal transcribed spacer 2, and large subunit ribosomal RNA". The stretch from base 1 to 121 matches the Rfam family "5.8S ribosomal RNA", at positions 35 to 154 of the family's 154-position model. The record is from RNAcentral.